UGAAAAGCUAUGAAAAGGAACAGUAGUCGCAACGUGAUUUCAGAAAGCUGUUGGUUGAUGCGAAACAGUAUGAGCAAUGCGGUGAACUCGCCUGGGAGCUUCCGGCUGAAAAUUGAGUAGGCUGUGACGGUAUCCACCGUUACCGGGAUAGGCAUGAAAUGUGCCGAUAAGAGUGUGUUACGCAUGAAGUAGAGUGGUACCGCGGAAGCUGUGAGCUUUCGUCUCUAUA
Molecule: non-coding RNA, 229 nt
Organism: Sporomusa sphaeroides DSM 2875
Lineage: Bacteria; Bacillati; Bacillota; Negativicutes; Selenomonadales; Sporomusaceae
Source: Rfam